AACGAACGCUGGCGGCAGGCUUAACACAUGCAAGUCGAGCGCCCCGCAAGGGGCGCGGCAGACGGGUGAGUAACGCGUGGGAACGUACCUUUUGGUUCGGAACAACUCCGGGAAACUGGAGCUAAUACCGGAUAAGCCCUAACGGGGAAAGAUUUAUCGCCGAAAGCUCGGCCCGCGUCUGAUUAGCUAGUUGGUGAGGUAACGGCUCACCAAGGCGACGAUCAGUAGCUGGUCUGAGAGGAUGAUCAGCCACACUGGGACUGAGACACGGCCCAGACUCCUACGGGAGGCAGCAGGGGGGAAUAUUGGACAAUGGGCGCAAGCCUGAGCCAGCCAGGCCGCGUGAGUGAUGAAGGCGUUAGGGUUGUAAAGCUCUUUUGUCCGGGAAGAUAAUGACUGUACCGGAAGAAUAAGCCCCGGCUAACUUCGUG
RNAcentral lists this ribosomal RNA (431 nucleotides) under uncultured bacterium. RNAcentral describes it as "partial 16S ribosomal RNA". It matches the Rfam family "Bacterial small subunit ribosomal RNA", at positions 29 to 507 of the family's 1533-position model. The record is from RNAcentral.